GACAGAGGGUGCAAACGUUGUUCGGAAUUACUGGGCGUAAAGCGCGUGUAGGCUGCUUCGCAAGUCGGAUGUGAAAGCCCUGGGCUCAACCUAGGAAGUGCAUUCGAAACUGCGGAGCUCGAGUCCUGGAGAGGAAGGCGGAAUUCUCGGUGUAGAGGUGAAAUUCGUAGAUAUCGAGAGGAACACCUGUGGCGAAGGCGGCCUUCUGGACAGUGACUGACGCUGAGACGCGAAAGCGUGGGGAGCAAACAGG
RNAcentral lists this ribosomal RNA (253 nucleotides) under uncultured bacterium. Its description in RNAcentral is "partial 16S ribosomal RNA". It matches the Rfam family "Bacterial small subunit ribosomal RNA", at positions 524 to 776 of the family's 1533-position model. The record is from RNAcentral.